AUCUGGUUGUUAUUGUUCUACCCAGGUUAUUUUAUGUGUAAAAGGGAUAGCACCAGCAGGAACAAGUCCUGCUUGUUUUGGAAGAAACAGAUGCUCUGCAAACAGGAGACAGAGCAAAAAGCCUGGAAAUUGGGAAAUCUGCUGGAAAUCUCUCUGACAGUCAGAGGAAGUGCUGGAGGACUUGACUAUAUGGAGAAAGAGCCUGAAAAAUAUUAUUAUAGGGUGCACCGGACUGGGGCCCAGAUCUGCAUUUCAGUGGCUCUCUAAACUGUCUAAGUCUUGGGAAAAGACCUAUUUCCCAGUUCUCUUUCUGAAAGGCAGAAAACACCUCAUGUUUCACGUUUUUCCCAGCCUCCACAUGCUCCUGAACUGGUUGGAUGCAUUCCCUGGCACUCCUCAUCACUAUGCUGGAUCCUUUCAGACACCACUUACAGGAUACUGGGACCUGCAAUCUUGGGUACAACAGUGAAGCAGUAUCUGCAGAGGGAGAGAGCACUGCAUGGCACAGCUACUGCAAAGUGAUGGCACGGGAAAGGAUGAAAGGAUCCCUCUCACUACUCCAGACUUGGAUCCUGAGACAGACAUAAUUUGUGCAACACGUGUCAAAGCCUCUGGGACAAAGACGGGUAAAUAUAAUGCAGUACAAGCUGUGACACUUCACAGAGUCUUGUGAGGAACAUAUCGGUUGUGUCAGGAAGUUUGAUUUGGAUCUGAAGCUUUCCUAGUCAACUGUCAGCUUAGACCUACAUGGGAACGCCGUGGUGCAGGAAAUACUUCUGCUGGGAUGACAAGGAUAUGGCCAAAGAAGAUGAACACUAGCUUUAUAAGAGUCCCUUGUCAACCAAGAAUGAGGGAAAUGAAGUUCGUGAAAUUCUUUGAAAGAGAAGGGAUGAAGCUCAACAUUUCAAGAAAGCAUCCACUUACAGAAAAGAAAUGCGUGGAGGUUAAGAAAUAAUUACAAAUCAACUAUUAGAAUUACAAAUAUUUUUACCCUGUGCUGUUGCUAGUGGAUUGAAAAUUGAGCCCACUUGGACGAAUUAAAUGAAAUGUGGGAAGAAGACUAUUGGGAAGUGAUUAGCUGGUCCCUGUGUCCUGGAAGUCUGAUUCUGUGGCAAAUAUGAUGCAAAGAGCCAAACCCAAGAAGAUCCUAGACCCUUGGAGGGCCAGACCGAGUCUACCAUGACAGGGUCACCUGUAACAAUUUGCUAGCCUCCUGCCAUCAGAUCCAUAUCAAGCAAGGGCAUCUGGCAGCUCAUUUGGGAUGGGAACAGCUCCGUUUCACCACCUCUGCUGGCCUUCCGCGGGCAGAGAUGCCCUGUUACUGUUCCUGUCUGGUCACAUUCCCCACUCUCCUCACCCUGAAGCUAACAUCUCUGGACUGGCUGGAGUUGAUAAGUGACCUCAGACAGUGGUGGUUGAAAAGAAGAGACAGCUGCCAUGGUGUGCAGCAGAGCUUCCUGGCAAGGAUCUUAUACCUCUACAAGACUACAGCAAGAUGAGUCCCUUCACUAAUACAGAGCUUUGGGCAAAAAAUGUGCUCCAAGAGAGAAACUUACACCUCUGUCUUCGUUCUUCCUUGCCUUUGCAGACAGGCAGAGUUGGUGGUUCCCUGUGGCAGCAGUGGCUGGCAGACUGACUUGCUGGGACAAGGCACGUGGCAAAGCUCUCCCCAGUCCCCAGUCUCUGGUCCCCAGUCCCUGUCUGGCCAGUCUCUAUCUGCACAGAUGCUGGCAGAUACUUUAGGAGACAAUGAUUACUAAUCAGUUUCUUCCUCCUCAGCAACAACUAAGGAAACAAGUGUAGUUCUCCUUCCCAGGCUUGUCCCUUCUCCCUCUCACGUGAUCCUGGCCUGUUCCCACUCACAAAAUGUUCAGGUAGAUAGCCCAGAGACAACUUGGAAAAGCAAUCUUCCCCCAUACUGGUGUCUCCCAGCUUUUCCGACAGUUUUCCUCUAAAUAUUUUUUUUUGUUUUUGCAGAAUUGAAUUUUACCUGUAGUAAGGAUCAGCCUUGAGCUGACUUGCACUGUUAAACUCUGCUGAGAGCUGAUCCUGAAUUGCAGAUUUUGCCUGGAUUUUGCAGAGUUCUCUGAGGUCUAGACCUCCUGACACUGCACAAAAAGCCCUGAUGAGAUACCACAAAGGGGUAAUGAGCACUACUGCUUGGAGAGGGGGUAGAGACCCCAUCCCUGGAAAUGGGGAUGUUGGUGAGGCUCUGAGAAAUCUGGUUUAGUGGAAGAUAUCUUAGAUCUCAUUCCAAGGGGGUUGGACUAGAUGAACUUUAAAGGUUCCUUCUAACCCAAACUAUUCUAUGAUUCUAUGAAUCUGUGAAAGUGGCCUGAAUCCAACUGGCCUAGUUUGCAUGUAUGUUUGAAAUUUUAGGAGCCUGGGCAGAAGGAAAAAGAUGGAUGCAGGUACCUAAAUCCUUUUGUCAGUCAAUGCAAAGGUAUAAGCAAUGAUAAAGACUUCCAGAGGUUGCUCCUGCCUCCGUUAUUUGUGAUGCGUGAGAAAAGAAGAGGUGACUCACUGGAAAUGUUAGUUGUCUUCAUGCCUUUGAAAUCUGCUCCAUCACCUCCUUCUAAAGGCAGGAUUCUAGUACAGGAUGGUGCCAUUUGUUAUGUUAUGAACUAUGUGGCAGAACUUAGAGCACUGAUUUAAGAUGGGGAAUAUCUAUCUCUCAGCUUUCCUCUGUUGCAGGAAGAAAUUUUCUCCCAUUUCCCGUAUCUCCAGAGUGCCCUGAUUUGCUGUAUCCUGGACGAGAGUAAUCACCAACCCUUCUUUUCAAGCCAAGGCAUGGUACAGCCAAGCUGUUAAGAGUCACAUGGAAGAGACAGCAAACAGGAGGGAACCAUGCAUGGUCAGUCAUCAGGCAUGCACAAGUUUUGCCAUGGUUUUCUCCUGGUUUUUAUCCAGUCAUGCUGAACUCUACCAGCAGAUCUGCUCCAGCAUGGCGCAGCCAAAACAGCAACAGGGAAAUGGCUGCACCACCCUGGUGGUAUCAGAAGUCCUGGCUCAUCUGGAAGAGGGAGGGUGCAGGUGCUUGUUGGUCUGUGCUUGGGUUUCUUUAGGAUCAGUAGCCCUGAUCAUGCUGCCUGCACCAGCCACUGCAGCAAAGAAUGUGGGCAAAAUUCAGGCUAAGCCUGUGUGGAUUUAGCUGUCAGCAUCCAAAUAUGAGACUGUUGAAAAGGAGCAGUUUUGACAAACUGGACCAGUGUCUGAUAUUUGUAAACCAGCGUGUGUCUGUGUUCAUAUUUAUUCACACCAUUCUUCAAUGUUUCAGUUCCUAGAUUGGUGUGAGGAUAGUUCCUUGGAAAUUAAUAACUGUUAGAGCUUUGUGGCUCAGUGAGUUGUUUACUUCCUUACAUCAUUAAUACUAUCCUUGUAGGGAGGAGGAGUGUUGAAAAUAAUAAACACUCUUUCCUUCAUUAACAUGCUGAAGGCUAUGGGAGCAAAGGCAAGACAUGACUGCUAGUUACUGUGGGGCCUCAAAAUACACAGCUCCCAACUGGUGCUUCAGUCCACGCUCAGGUCUUUUCUCCUUGCUGCAAUAAGAAAGUGGCAUAAUCA
This is a long non-coding RNA of Corvus hawaiiensis (hawaiian crow), 3564 nucleotides long. RefSeq lists it as uncharacterized. The record is from RefSeq and is a predicted model, not a curated record. The transcript is spliced from 9 exons. Lineage: Eukaryota; Metazoa; Chordata; Aves; Passeriformes; Corvidae.